Molecule: ribosomal RNA, 492 nt
Filed under: uncultured bacterium
Lineage: Bacteria
Description: partial 16S ribosomal RNA
Rfam family: Bacterial small subunit ribosomal RNA
Source: RNAcentral
AGUGAACGCUGGCGGUAGGCCUAACACAUGCAAGUCGAACGGCAGCACAGUAAGAGCUUGCUCUUACGGGUGGCGAGUGGCGGACGGGUGUGGAAUACAUCGGAAUCUACUUUUUCGUGGGGGAUAACGUAGGGAAACUUACGCUAAUACCGCAUACGACCUACGGGUGAAAGCAGGGGAUCUUCGGACCUUGCGCGAUUGAAUGAGCCGAUGUCGGAUUAGCUAGUUGGCGGGGUAAAGGCCCACCAAGGCGACGAUCCGUAGCUGGUCUGAGAGGAUGAUCAGCCACACUGGAACUGAGACACGGUCCAGACUCCUACGGGAGGCAGCAGUGGGGAAUAUUGGACAAUGGGCGCAAGCCUGAUCCAGCCAUACCGCGUGGGUGAAGAAGGCCUUCGGGUUGUAAAGCCCUUUUGUUGGGAAAGAAGAGCAGCAGGUUAAUACCCCGCUGUUCUGACGGUACCCAAAGAUUAAGCACCGGCUAACUUCGUG